GCACCCGUAGCUCAGCUGGAUAGAGCGCUGCCCUCCGAAGGCAGAGGUCACAGGUUCGACUCCUGUCGGGUGCACCA
Molecule: transfer RNA, 77 nt
Filed under: Hyphomicrobiales bacterium
Lineage: Bacteria; Pseudomonadati; Pseudomonadota; Alphaproteobacteria; Hyphomicrobiales
Also listed under: 6 other names
Description: Rhizobiales bacterium tRNA-Arg
Rfam family: tRNA
About the family: Transfer RNA (tRNA) molecules are approximately 80 nucleotides in length. Their secondary structure includes four short double-helical elements and three loops (D, anti-codon, and T loops). Further hydrogen bonds mediate the characteristic L-shaped molecular structure. tRNAs have two regions of fundamental functional importance: the anti-codon, which is responsible for specific mRNA codon recognition, and the 3' end, to which the tRNAs corresponding amino acid is attached (by aminoacyl-tRNA synthetases). tRNAs cope with the degeneracy of the genetic code in two manners: having more than one tRNA (with a specific anti-codon) for a particular amino acid; and 'wobble' base-pairing, i.e. permitting non-standard base-pairing at the 3rd anti-codon position.
Source: RNAcentral